GUGAACGCUGGCGGUAGGCCUAACACAUGCCAGUCGAACGGCAGCACAGUAAGAGCUUGCUCUUACGGGUGGCGAGUGGCGGACGGGUGAGGAAUACAUCGGAAUCUACUUUUUCGUGGGGGAUAACGUAGGGAAACUUACGCUAAUACCGCAUACGACCUACGGGUGAAAGCAGGGGAUCUUCGGACCUUGCGCGAUUGCAUGAGCCGAUGUCGGAUUAGCUAGUUGGCGGGGUAAAGGCCCACCAAGGCGACGAUCCGUAGCUGGUCUGAGAGGAUGAUCAGCCACACUGGAACUGAGACACGGUCCAGACUCCUACGGGAGGCAGCAGUGGGGAAUAUUGGACAAUGGGCGCAAGCCUGAUCCAGCCAUACCGCGUGAGUGAAGAAGGCCUUCGGGUUGUAAAGCCCUUUUGUUGGGAAAGAAAAGCAGCAGGUUAAUACCCCGCUGUUCUGACGGUACCCAAAGAAUAAGCACCGGCUAACUUCGUG
This 491-nucleotide ribosomal RNA is filed under the name uncultured bacterium. RNAcentral's name for it is "partial 16S ribosomal RNA". It matches the Rfam family "Bacterial small subunit ribosomal RNA", at positions 29 to 507 of the family's 1533-position model. The record is from RNAcentral.